Schistosoma curassoni is the source of this 48-nucleotide non-coding RNA. The record is from Rfam. NCBI's taxonomy places the organism in Eukaryota, Metazoa, Platyhelminthes, Trematoda, Strigeidida, Schistosomatidae.
AUUCAGCUGACGAGUCCCAAAUAGGACAAAGUAGCGUGCGUCCUGGAU